This is a long non-coding RNA of Podarcis raffonei (Aeolian wall lizard), 2034 nucleotides long. RefSeq lists it as uncharacterized. The transcript is spliced from 2 exons. Lineage: Eukaryota; Metazoa; Chordata; Lepidosauria; Squamata; Lacertidae. The record is from RefSeq and is a predicted model, not a curated record.
ACCCUUCUGAGUAAUACCCCUCCCCACCCUCCCGCUAUAUAUAAGGGUCUGGUGACUUCUGUUUCAGGUUAUCUGAAGAGGUGUGCAUGCACACGAAAGCUCAUACCAAUAACAAACUUAGUUGGUCUCUAAUGUGCUACUGGAAGGAUUUUUUAAAUUUUGUUUCGACUACGGCAGACCAACACGGCUACCUACCUGUUACUGGAUUACUGUUUUUACAUCUUGAAUAACGAUCCUUCACAGAAUGCAACUUCAUGCAUAAACCAAUAUCCCCAAUUGAGAGCUUUGUUCUGCUUUCUCCCUGGGUUCAUCUCUUAACAUAAUGUUGGUCAUCCCCUUAGCUUUCCUGGACCAUAAAACUGGUUAUUUACCAGAUUGGGGUAGUGAAAAAGCUUUCUUGUUGAACCUUUCUGUGUUCUCAGUGAAAGCACUCAGGGUACAGUCAAAUGCAGCUAUACUUUGAAAUUAAGUCUCACUGUCUUGCUCGUCAAAUGUAUGUAUUAGAACUUGAAUUAAACUAAAUUUGUGAUUGCACAUUGAUCAAAAUGUUACAACAGUAUCACAAACUCCCUCAUCCAAUUUUGCAUCAGAACUUUGCUACCAAUGCUAAAUAUUUUCUCUUGGUUAGAUGGCAAGGUACCCUAGAAUAACUUUUUUUGUCACUUGGUGACACAGUUGCUGCUUGGGAAGCACUUCUUUCUGCCUUCUGCUGAGCUAAGCAAUAAUGUAAAACCUACUUCUUAGAUCAGCUUUAUUCUAGGAUAAAAACCACACAGAAAUGUUUCUCUUUUUGAUUUCCCUAUUGAAUGUACUCCUACAAUUAAACUGUAAAGUGUGAAGAUUUUGGUAUCUACUAAGAUCAGCCUUUCGGAUUCUGAAAGUUAAAAAUGGAUUUAUCACAUGUCUAAAAUGCUGAUAUCGGAAUUCUCACAUUGCAAGGCUGCUGUCCCUAGGGAGCCGCAGGCAGCUGCUAAGGAGUGAUAGAAAUCCUUUCCUUAUGCUUCUCUUUGCUGCCCCAUCUCGUAUUUUUGCGCCUGAGUUCGGUAGAUGAGGAAACGGCAAAACCUGAAAAAUGCCUUGCAAAUGAUUCCCCCCCCAUUAAAGUAUUUAAUUGCAUGAUUCUCAGUUGCAUUAACUAAACAAUAGCAAGUUGUUUCUCAAAUUGUAUAACCCUGAGAGCCUUCUCUACCCAGGUACAAGUUGAUUAACAGGUCAACACUCGCAUUUGAAGUUCAUGUUCCUGUCCUAAGAAAAUGGACAGGCUUUUUUUAGUCUUCCCUGUAUAGGUUGUGCACUGACAAACAGGAACUAGGCAUUUUACCCCUUUCUGGUUUGUUGAUUGCACUAUUUAUGCUUCACUAGGCCAAACACACCCAGAGUACCACUUCACACAUUCUCAAAAGGAGUUGAUAAAAGAUACAGCUUUGCAUAAAAUUUGUGCAUGCUGAUUUAUAGGUGCCAAUCCACUAUAAGAAAUACACUACAUUUUGCCAUAGUGGGGAAGACUGGCACCAGGUAGCUUCUGUCCCUGCUAAGUCUGUUGCGCAUGUGUUAAACGUUUCAUGGGCAUCUUCAGUUCUCCCUUAUAGUUCCUCAUCAACACUUGGAUCCCUCAAAAUAGAGACUGUCCUUUGAAAACUAGGAUACAUGGUGAUCCUGAAUACAACUCAUCCUCUGAAUAUGAGAGCCUACCAGGGCUUAAUGAACUUAGGAAGGGGCAGUUGUAAGCAAGGCGUACCACCACCCAGGAAUUUAAAAAAAGAAUUCCAAAUUGGAAUUGGCCACAAUUACAAAGCUUGCUGUAAACAUUUGUUCACAAAUAGACCUGAAGUCUCACUGGUAUGAAGAAGUACAGUCUCUUAUACUCUCAUCUAAAUUUACCUGUCAAGCGGAAAAUCCAGCAGAGAAUUGUAGCUUUACUUGAUUGUUAUGCAACUCAGGCCCAGGCUUCCUAGAACAUGUCUAAUGAAGCAGUCCUUUAUGUAUGCAGAAGCUCCUCUUACAAAAUAAAUCUGGAGAACUAGGGCAAAACUC